UGAGACAGGUGCUGCAUGGCUGUCGUCAGCUCGUGUUGUGAAAUGUUGGGUUAAGUCCGCAACGAGCGCAACCCUUAUCCUUUGUUGCCAGCGGUUCGGCCGGGAACUCAAAGGAGACUGCCGGUGAUAAACCGGAGGAAGGUGGGGAUGACGUCAAGUCAUCAUGGCCCUUACGGCCAGGGCUACACACGUGCUACAAUGGCGCAUACAAAGAGAAGCGACCUCGCGAGAGCAAGCGGACCUCAUAAAGUGCGUCGUAGUCCGGAUUGGAGUCUGCAACUCGACUCCAUGAAGUCGGAAUCGCUAGUAAUCGUAGAUCAGAAUGCUACGGUGAAUACGUUCCCGGGCCUUGUACACACCGCCCGUCACACCAUGGGAGUGGGUUGCAAAAGAAGUAGGUAGCUUAACCUUCGGGAGGGCGCUUACCACUUUGUGAUUCAUGACUGGGGUGAAGUCGUAACAAGGUAGGCGUAGACGU
Molecule: ribosomal RNA, 478 nt
Filed under: uncultured bacterium
Lineage: Bacteria
Description: bacterial SSU rRNA
Rfam family: Bacterial small subunit ribosomal RNA
Source: RNAcentral